CCGAGUUUACAACUCCCAAACCCCCAUGUGAACCUACCACACCGUUGCCUCGGCGGGAUCGCCCCGGGCGCGUCGCAGCCCCGGGCCAAGGCGCCCGCCGGAGGACCCAAAACCCUGCAUCUCCCGCCCAGCGGGCCAUCAGUAACCUCUGAGCUCUCUCGGCGCUCCCAGCGAGCGUUCCGAAAAAAUGAAUCA
This 195-nucleotide unclassified non-coding RNA is filed under the name uncultured fungus. Its description in RNAcentral is "sequence contains ITS1, 5.8S rRNA gene". Lineage: Eukaryota; Fungi. The record is from RNAcentral.